RNAcentral lists this ribosomal RNA (829 nucleotides) under uncultured bacterium. RNAcentral describes it as "bacterial SSU rRNA". It matches the Rfam family "Bacterial small subunit ribosomal RNA", at positions 30 to 858 of the family's 1533-position model. The record is from RNAcentral.
UGAACGCUAGCGGCAGGCUUAACACAUGCAAGUCGAGGGGCAGCAUGUCCAGCAAUGGAUGAUGGCGACCGGCGGAAGGGUGCGUAACGCGUGAGCAACAUGCCNUAUACAGGGAGAUACACCAGGGAAACUUGGUCUAAUAUCCCAUAGCAUUCAUUGAAGGCAUCUUUAAUGAAUUAAAGCUUCGGUGGUAUAGGAUUGGCUCGCGUGACAUUAGCCAGAUGGUGAGGUAACGGCUCACCAUAGCAAUGAUGUCUAGGGGUUUUGAGAGGAAGGCCCCCCACACUGGGACUGAGACACGGCCCAGACUCCUACGGGAGGCAGCAGUGAGGAAUAUUGGACAAUGGAUGGAAAUCUGAUCCAGCCAUGCCGCGUGCAGGAAGACGGCCUUAUGGGUUGUAAACUGCUUUUAUACGGGAGCAAUAAGGGUUACGAGUAAUCCGAUGAGAGUACUGUAUGAAUAAGGAUCGGCUAACUCCGUGCCAGCAGCCGCGGUAAUACGGAGGAUCCGAGCGUUAUCCGGAAUUAUUGGGUUUAAAGGGUGCGUAGGCGGCCAUUUAAGUCAGCGGUGAAAUUUUGCAGCUUAACUGUAACAGUGCCGUUGAUACUGUUUGGCUAGGAUUUGGUUGUAGUGUGCGGAAUGUGUGGUGUAGCGGUGAAAUGCUUAGAUAUCACACAGAACACCGAUUGCGAAGGCAGCACACUAAGUCAUUAUUGACGCUGAGGCACGAAAGUGUGGGGAUCAAACAGGAUUAGAUACCCUGGUAGUCCACACUGUAAACGAUGAUAACUCGCUGUCGGCGAUACACAGUCGGGGCCAAGCGAAAGC